Molecule: transfer RNA, 69 nt
Filed under: Barynotus obscurus
Lineage: Eukaryota; Metazoa; Arthropoda; Insecta; Coleoptera; Curculionidae
Description: tRNA-Phe
Rfam family: tRNA
About the family: Transfer RNA (tRNA) molecules are approximately 80 nucleotides in length. Their secondary structure includes four short double-helical elements and three loops (D, anti-codon, and T loops).
Source: RNAcentral
ACUUAAAUAGCUUAUGGUUAGAGCAUAGCAUUGAAGAUGCUAAGGAAAUUAUUAAUAAAUUUUUAAGUG